UGCAGAGGGGGCAAGCGUUAUUCGGAAUUAUUGGGCGUAAAGGGCGCGUAGGCGGCCUGGCAAGUGGAAGGUGAAAUCCCUCGGCUUAACCGAGGAACUGCCCUCCAAACUGCUUGGCUUGAGUCCGGGAGAGGUGAGUGGAAUUCCCAGUGUAGCGGUGAAAUGCGUAGAUAUUGGGAGGAACACCAGUGGCGAAGGCGGCUCGCUGGACCGGCACUGACGCUGAGGUGCGAAAGCGUGGGGAGCAAACAGG
This 253-nucleotide ribosomal RNA is filed under the name uncultured bacterium. Its description in RNAcentral is "partial 16S ribosomal RNA". It matches the Rfam family "Bacterial small subunit ribosomal RNA", at positions 524 to 776 of the family's 1533-position model. The record is from RNAcentral.